CUUGCUAUGCUGCUUCAGAGAAUGCCUCCGCCUCCGAACCCUUAGGCACUUAGGAUUUAUUUUGCUUGCCUAUUGUUUUUGCUUCUGUCUUCUUUUGACUCUGAUGUUUUUCUUGUUCUUUUGAACCUGAUGUUUUGUUUGUUGCCUUUGUGCUUCUAUCUAUGAAUUUUAAGUUUUUCUCUUUAUCUAUUUUUUUUUUCUCUUUACUUAUUUUUACUAUGUCUUUUUGAUUCUGACAAAAAGGGGGAGAAAGUAAUUAUUAGCUCUGAUGAAAAUAUUGUCUAAAACCAUCAAGCAUUCUGCAACAUUUUUUUUAUAUAAACAAAAUUAUCUAACUUGGACUUAAGAAAUUGCAGAAAAUCUCAGAAACCUCUUUACUUAAGAAACUCUGGUAAGAACUUCAGAACCUCUGAACUCCCUAGUACUAUCUCAGGGGGAGCUUCUGUCUAUCUGAUCUAUUUUUAUUCAUGUUUCAUCUGCUAAUUAAAGUUGUUUUGUCAUCAUCAAAAAGGGGGAGAUUGUAAGAACAAAAAUUGUGAUACAACAGAUUCCUUGAUUUUG
This 561-nucleotide long non-coding RNA is filed under the name Lathyrus oleraceus (garden pea). RNAcentral describes it as "Pisum sativum (pea) long non-coding RNA (PSAT_LNC009343)". Lineage: Eukaryota; Viridiplantae; Streptophyta; Magnoliopsida; Fabales; Fabaceae. The record is from RNAcentral.